This is a long non-coding RNA of Cydia splendana, 972 nucleotides long. RefSeq lists it as uncharacterized. The transcript is spliced from 2 exons. Lineage: Eukaryota; Metazoa; Arthropoda; Insecta; Lepidoptera; Tortricidae. The record is from RefSeq and is a predicted model, not a curated record.
GGAAAAUGAAUUAGAUUUCUACUAGACUUCAACAAGUUACGAUACGGAUAAUUUAAAGAUAUUUGUAAGAUAGAUAUGUCAAAUUUGACGUUUCCGCGAUUCUGGAGGUCCUCUUUAACGAUUUCGACAAGUUAUGACUUAGAUAUCCAAGUCACAUCUAGUCGAUAUAUCUAAUGUAGAUCUAGUUGAUCUCUAAAUCGUCUCAAGAUCUUGUGAUUAUCUCGAAAUCCGAAUAGGCCUGCAAAAAAUUUAGACGAGCUGACACAUUUCAAACUCUUUUCAAUGCUCUAGUACGUUCUCGUCUUGAAUACUGUUGUCAAGUUUGGAAUCCAAGCUACGCAAUUCACAUCAAUCGGUUGGAAAAAGUCCAACGUUCUUUUACUCGAUUCUUAGUGUUUAAGACAAAGACCGAGGGAGUUCGUAAAAACCUAACAUAUGAAGAGAGACUCCAACGGUUUAAAAUGUCUUCUUUACAGCUCAGGCGGUCUUUCCUUGACAUGGCUUUGUUACACAAGUUGUUAAACGGUAAAAUCGCGGAACCUUACCUGCUGGGCGGUUUAAACUUUACAGUACCAAAAGCUUGCACACGGUCUUGUCGUCGCACUAUUUUUCGCCCCAGUUCUACCAGGACUAAACUGGGCAAGUCACUUCCGGUCCAUAGAAUGCAAGUAACAUGGAACAAUCUGUCUCUUGAACAAAACUUUGAAAUAGACAUAUUUAGUGAUUCUAUACAAAAUUUAAAGCGCAGAAUGCUAACAAACUUUUAAUAAGUAAUGUUUACAGUAGUUAUAGUCUUUCAUGCAUGUCUUAAUUACUUAACCUAUUAAUGUAUAGUUAUAGUUUGUAAAGUAGUGUAAAAGCCUCGAACUGUUUGAAUGUUGUUGCACACCUGUUAUUGGUGCAUAAAUAUCAUACGUGUCUGCUGUACUUAUGUAACUUUACUUGCUUUGUUUAUGUACUGUUGGUGUGUCU